AGAGUUUGAUCCUGGCUCAGAACGAACGCUGGCGGCAGGCUUAACACAUGCAAGUCGAGCGCCCGCAAGGGGAGCGGCAGACGGGUGAGUAACACGUGGGAACAUACCCUUUACUACGGAACAACUCCGGGAAACUGGAGCUAAUACCGUAUGUGCCCUUCGGGGGGAAAGAUUUAUCGGUAAAGGAUUGGCCCGCGUUGGAUUAGCUAGUUGGUGGGGUAAAGGCCUACCAAGGCGACGAUCCAUAGCUGGUCUGAGAGGAUGAUCAGCCACAUUGGGACUGAGACACGGCCCAAACUCCUACGGGAGGCAGCAGUGGGGAAUAUUGGACAAUGGGCGCAAGCCUGAUCCAGCCAUGCCGCGUGAGUGAUGAAGGCCUUAGGGUUGUAAAGCUCCUUCACCGAUGAAGAUAAUGACGGUAGUCGGAGAAGAAGCCCCGGCUAACUUCGUG
Molecule: ribosomal RNA, 451 nt
Filed under: uncultured Rhizobium sp.
Lineage: Bacteria; Pseudomonadati; Pseudomonadota; Alphaproteobacteria; Hyphomicrobiales; Rhizobiaceae
Description: bacterial SSU rRNA
Rfam family: Bacterial small subunit ribosomal RNA
Source: RNAcentral